RNAcentral lists this long non-coding RNA (942 nucleotides) under Manihot esculenta (cassava). RNAcentral describes it as "long non-coding RNA (MESC_LNC002664)". The record is from RNAcentral. Lineage: Eukaryota; Viridiplantae; Streptophyta; Magnoliopsida; Malpighiales; Euphorbiaceae.
CACAAUCUUCUUCUUCUUAUUAUCCUAGUGGAACUUCUACGAGAAACGGCUCUGUGGUAGGGAAAGAAGAGAAAACAGCAAGCGAGUAUUCCAACCGGGAUAUUUUCGGCCUUGUUCCAUCUCACUCUGAAGUUGAAGGUGCCAUGACUGCUCUGCACAAGUGAGUGAUAUUUGUCACGAUUCAAAUCUAUAGUCACCUAUUGGCUUUAACACUAAAUGAACUUAUGACUUGCUAUGUGAAUAGUUUUAUGAAAGGGAUUUCUUCGUCUGACUUGGAGUUGGUGCAUCUGCUGCAAACAUUGGGAUGUGGUGAUAUCAGAAAAUCGCUAUCUCAUGGAUAUGCAAGACUUUUGAAUGCUUUUGGUUUGCUGCAAAGAGAGCCAAUUAUUAUGGUAAAUCUUUUUUACCAACUACAAAUUUGAAUUUCAUAUUGUAAAUUGUCACUUAUAGGGUUUCAAAUUCACUUAGAGAGUGGUGAUGUCUCUAUCAUCUGAUAAAGCGGUGUGGGAUGCUGUUAUGAACAACGAGUUAGUGCGGCAGCUGCGAGAGUCAUGCAUCACUCCAGGUUUAUCUACGUGUGAUGGAGAAGAAUUUUAAUGGCUUAAAAUUGAGUUAAUUUUUGUUUAAUGCUCUUCUCUUCUCUGAACUUGUUUCGCCUUCCGCAGCCGUAACCCGUAGGAUACAAAGCUGUAAUGAAGGAGAGGAUGUGGUUACCUGUAUGUUGAGAUGGAUUAUGGACAUCACUAAAGCCCAAGUUACUCGACUUAUCCAGAAAUUUCGGCUGUUGAUGAACGAGAUUUUCCAACCUUUGGAGAGGGAGAAACACACUGAAGAAAGCACAGGUGAGACAGAUGACAGAAUUAGAUCAUCGUUGCUUCUCUCCAUUGUGAUCCUCUUGAUUGUAGUAGUGACCAGGAUUCAAAGGGCUUGACCACAUGAUAG